UGACACCCCGCAUCACUUUUUCUAAAUUUCCCUUUUUAAAUGAUGAAAAUUUUAGUCUCAAAAGAUAUUAUCCGAACUAGAAGAGUUGGAGGCGGCAGAGCACAUCCCACAAGGGAGAAGUAUUUUUAUGAAGGUAAAAGGAUGUUUAAUUGAUUCUUGUUUUAGGAAGGUUUAUUUUGUUAUCUAAUAAUAUCCAAAAAAAGUACCAUGUUAGGUCUUUCUUUUAUUAAAAACAAUAUAUAAGCAUUUGUAAAAUAGAAUUGCUUGAAUUAAAUAAUAAUAAACGUAAAAUGGUUAAACCAUGUUUUUAUUAUUGUAUACGGAAAAAAUUAGUGGUUCGAUUUUACGGUCACCAAGUCGCUUCGAAGAAACUGCCUCCAAAGGCUCGAAGCUUAGCUCGGGGCUUUGGCCUCAAAAGUUCUCAGUAAUCUACUUCGAGGUAGCUUAAACAACGGGCAACCUCAAGGCAGGGUAAAUUAGUGGCAUCGGUGGAUCGGUGUGAGGUUCCCGAUACAUGUGACUAGGGCUGACAAAGUCAAUUAUGCUAGUUUAAACUUGUACCAUGGCAUUAAAUGGUUAUACCAGUCUCAUAUCUUUGUAAUAAAUGUAUUUGUACUAUAUUGUGAUUCUCCCUCACAUAUAAAGGGGAUCCUUGUUAUUUUAUAGGACAUUUGAUACUCAAUACUUAAUACAAAAGAACAUUCUCUCUGCUCUCUAA
Molecule: long non-coding RNA, 718 nt
Filed under: Nicotiana benthamiana
Lineage: Eukaryota; Viridiplantae; Streptophyta; Magnoliopsida; Solanales; Solanaceae
Description: long non-coding RNA (NBEN_LNC042258)
Source: RNAcentral